UACGUAGGGACCAAGCGUUGUUCGGAUUUACUGGGCGUAAAGGGCGCGUAGGCGGCGUGUUAAGUCAGCUGUGAAAUCUCCAAGCUUAACUUGGAACGGUCAGCUGAUACUGAUGUGCUAGAGUGCAGAAGGGGCAAUCGGAAUUCUUGGUGUAGCGGUGAAAUGCGUAGAUAUCAAGAGGAACACCUGAGGUGAAGACGGGUUGCUGGGCUGACACUGACGCUGAGGCGCGAAAGCGUGGGGAGCAAACAGG
Molecule: ribosomal RNA, 253 nt
Filed under: uncultured bacterium
Lineage: Bacteria
Description: partial 16S ribosomal RNA
Rfam family: Bacterial small subunit ribosomal RNA
Source: RNAcentral